GGUCGUGGCUCAGUGGUAGAGAACCUGCCUGGCGUGCAGAAGGUCAUGGGUUCAAUCCGGGGUAUGUCCA
This 70-nucleotide transfer RNA is filed under the name Sphaerodactylus townsendi. Its description in RNAcentral is "tRNA-Ala". The record is from RNAcentral. Lineage: Eukaryota; Metazoa; Chordata; Lepidosauria; Squamata; Sphaerodactylidae.